UCGAAUGCAGUGCCAGGUGGCGCGGUAAUGCGUAGGGGGGGACCGUGAAACGUAAUAUCGUGGCGGAAGGCGGGAGCAGGCUGCUCUGCAAGACGAGUGUGAAAUCCCGGGGCUUAACCUGUGAACUGCAUGUGUGAGUGCAUGGCUGGAGUGCGGCAGAGGGGGAUGGAAUUCCGCGUGUAGCAGUGAAAUGCGUAGAUAUGCGGAGGAACACCGAUGGCGAAGGCAAUCCCCUGGGCCUGCACUGACGCUCAUGCACGAAAGCGUGGGGAGCAAACAGGAUUAGAUACCCUUGUAGUC
RNAcentral lists this ribosomal RNA (300 nucleotides) under uncultured Costertonia sp. RNAcentral's name for it is "bacterial SSU rRNA". It matches the Rfam family "Bacterial small subunit ribosomal RNA", at positions 496 to 795 of the family's 1533-position model. Lineage: Bacteria; Pseudomonadati; Bacteroidota; Flavobacteriia; Flavobacteriales; Flavobacteriaceae. The record is from RNAcentral.